UAUGCAACUCAGAUAAUGAAGCUGUAUUGAUUGCCAGGAGGGGGUGAGGGUGAAGCAGGGUCCAGGUGUGAAGUGCUUAGGCGGCAGGAGAGGGGAUCUUCUAGUGGGAUCCGUGUCCACACAGGGGGCCUCCUGGGCCUGAGCGGGGCUGGGCAGCCUCAGUUCUUGGUGCGAAGGACCUGCUCGUGGGUGGACACCACCUUGCCAUCGUGCACAUCCAUGAUCUUGGUGUGGAUUUGGUGGCUGGAGGAGAACUGGGAGGAGGAGAGGCUGUGAAGACAGAAAAGGGCAGGGUCAUUAGAUACAUGGUGGGGCCGUGAGAGUGCCAUGGUGGGGCGGAUUAAGGGGAGGGCCAAGACUCAUUGGGCAUCCUCGCCCUCCAGCAGGCGGCGGUAGGUGGCGAUCUCCUGUUCCAGCCGCAUCUUCAC
Molecule: long non-coding RNA, 428 nt
Filed under: Homo sapiens (human)
Lineage: Eukaryota; Metazoa; Chordata; Mammalia; Primates; Hominidae
Description: HSALNT0388803
Source: RNAcentral